RNAcentral lists this transfer RNA (74 nucleotides) under Triticum dicoccoides. Its description in RNAcentral is "tRNA tRNA-Asp". It matches the Rfam family "tRNA". Rfam says of the family: Transfer RNA (tRNA) molecules are approximately 80 nucleotides in length. Their secondary structure includes four short double-helical elements and three loops (D, anti-codon, and T loops). Further hydrogen bonds mediate the characteristic L-shaped molecular structure. tRNAs have two regions of fundamental functional importance: the anti-codon, which is responsible for specific mRNA codon recognition, and the 3' end, to which the tRNAs corresponding amino acid is attached (by aminoacyl-tRNA synthetases). tRNAs cope with the degeneracy of the genetic code in two manners: having more than one tRNA (with a specific anti-codon) for a particular amino acid; and 'wobble' base-pairing, i.e. permitting non-standard base-pairing at the 3rd anti-codon position. Lineage: Eukaryota; Viridiplantae; Streptophyta; Magnoliopsida; Poales; Poaceae. The record is from RNAcentral.
GGGGAAAUAGCUCAGUUGGUUAGUGUGCUGGUCUGUCACGCCAGAAGUCGCGGGUUCGAACCCCGUUUUCCCCG